Molecule: transfer RNA, 70 nt
Filed under: Aspergillus brasiliensis
Lineage: Eukaryota; Fungi; Ascomycota; Eurotiomycetes; Eurotiales; Aspergillaceae
Description: tRNA-Ser
Rfam family: tRNA
About the family: Transfer RNA (tRNA) molecules are approximately 80 nucleotides in length.
Source: RNAcentral
GUCAGUGUGGCCGAGUGGUUAAGGCGUCUGACUCGAAAUCUGAUACGUUCGCGUCAUUCUGUCACUGACG